GCGAGGGCGGAGCAGUGCACAGAGCAACCCGACGCGCAAGGUCCGCAGCGCCUUCCCGACCUGUGCAGCGGGACGUGGGCUGCUGCUGCCGCCACUGAGCGUGCUUGGCUAGGGGGACCAUGGCUGUGAGGAAGGCAGCGCGACCGCGCUCUGCCGCAGGAAAGCUAGAAACAUCUCUCCGCGCAUUCUGAAUGAGCUAAGGGAGUCGAAAUCUGAAAACAAAGCUUCAUUUCAACAUGCCCAGACUUCGCGAGGAGGCCACAGAUUACAAGCUGCCUCUCCAGUUUCCUACAGCAGUCUUUUGGAAGAAGCAAAAGAAGAAAGCUCUUGGCUUCCAGAAUGGCUAGUAAAAGAAUUACUGAAAGAGCAUCAGAAGAGUCACUCAGGAGGACUCAUGGAGAAUAUAUUGGAGCAUGAAAGUUUUCAGCAUCACACUGACUCUGCCAAGAGUCUGAGGAAAGAAAAGAUUGAACAACAAGUGACCCUUGAACAACUUCAGAAACUAAACACAGCAUUUCAGGAGUUAGAAAAGAAUGGUUGUAAAUCACUGGAUGUGGAGAAAUUCAAGCAGGUAGUGAAAAAAUGUAUGAUGCCCCAUAGAACAGUUAAGUGAACAUUUCUCUUUAAACAGUUUUAUAAUUGAAAAUCUUUUAUGUUGAAGCCUAACUCAAUUCUGUGGGCAUAAUAUUGAAACUUUGAAUAUAUUUGAUCUGUGAGCUAUUGGAUUGACUGACUUCUUCCUGCAUACUCUAGAAUGUUAUACAUCUGUAAUAAAAGUUCAGCAUGUGUUUUAAGUUCCCUUUUUGGGCCUGACACUGGAAGUUCUUCUGAGUAAACACUAAAGAAUUGGACCCUCUAGGACAGUGUUUCUUAAACUUUUUAAGACCAAGGAAUGCCAAACAAUUUUUUUUAUGG
Non-coding RNA from Pelodiscus sinensis (Chinese soft-shelled turtle), 915 nucleotides. Lineage: Eukaryota; Metazoa; Chordata; Testudines; Trionychidae. The record is from RefSeq and is a predicted model, not a curated record.